GCCUACGGCCAUACCACCCUGAA
RNAcentral lists this non-coding RNA (23 nucleotides) under Xenopus tropicalis (tropical clawed frog). RNAcentral also lists the same sequence under 2 other names. The record is from RNAcentral. Lineage: Eukaryota; Metazoa; Chordata; Amphibia; Anura; Pipidae.